This 446-nucleotide ribosomal RNA is filed under the name uncultured bacterium. RNAcentral's name for it is "partial 16S ribosomal RNA". It matches the Rfam family "Bacterial small subunit ribosomal RNA", at positions 329 to 792 of the family's 1533-position model. The record is from RNAcentral.
GCCCAGACUCCUACGGGAGGCAGCAGUGGGGAAUAUUGCACAAUGGGGGAAACCCUGAUGCAGCGACGCCGCGUGGGUGAAGAAGUCAUUCGUGACGUAAAGCCCUAUCAGCAGGGAAGAAAAUGACGGUACCUGACUAAGAAGCCCCGGCUAACUACGUGCCAGCAGCCGCGGUAAUACGUAGGGGGCAAGCGUUAUCCGGAUUUACUGGGUGUAAAGGGAGCGUAGACGGAAAGGCAAGUCAGAAGUGAAAGCCCAAGGCUCAACCAUGGGACUGCUUUUGAAACUGUCAAACUAGAGUACGGGAGAGGUAAGAGGAAUUCCUAGUGUAGCGGUGAAAUGCGUAGAUAUUAGGAGGAACACCAGUGGCGAAGGCGUCUUACUGGACCGAAACUGACGUUGAGGCUCGAAAGCGUGGGGAGCAAACAGGAUUAGGUACCCCUGUA